RNAcentral lists this unclassified non-coding RNA (337 nucleotides) under soil metagenome. Its description in RNAcentral is "partial contains 5.8S ribosomal RNA, internal transcribed spacer 2, and large subunit ribosomal RNA". The stretch from base 1 to 120 matches the Rfam family "5.8S ribosomal RNA", at positions 35 to 154 of the family's 154-position model. The record is from RNAcentral.
GAUGAAGAACGUAGCGAAAUGCGAUAAGUAGUGUGAAUUGCAGAAUUCAGUGAAUCAUCGAAUCUUUGAACGCACAUUGCGCCCCUUGGUAUUCCAUGGGGCAUGCCUGUUCGAGCGUCAUUUGUACCUUCAAGCUCUGCUUGGUGUUGGGUGUUUGUCUCGCCUCUGCGUGUAGACUCGCCUUAAAACAAUUGGCAGCCGGCGUAUUGAUUUCGGAGCGCAGUACAUCUCGCGCUUUGCACUCAUAACGACGACGUCCAAAAGUACAUUUUUACACUCUUGACCUCGGAUCAGGUAGGGAUACCCGCUGAACUUAAGAAUAUCAAUAAGCGGAGGA